AAGACCUUGCACUUUUGGAGCGGCCGAUGUCUGAUUAGCUAGUUGGUGGGGUAAUGGCCUACCAAAGCUUCGAUCAGUAGCUGGUCUGAGAGGACGGCCAGCCACACUGGGACUGAGACACGGCCCAGACUCCUACGGGAGGCAGCAGUGGGGAAUUUUGGACAAUGGGCGCAAGCCUGAUCCAGCCAUGCCGCGUGAGUGAAGAAGGCCUUCGGGUUGUAAAGCUCUUUCAGCCGGGAAGAAAAGGUUGCGACUAAUAAUCGCAAUCCAUGACGGUACCGAAAGAAGAAGCACCGGCUAACUACGUGCCAGCAGCCGCGGUAAUACGUAGGGUGCGAGCGUUAAUCGGAAUUACUGGGCGUAAAGGGUGCGCAGGCGGUUUCGUAAGUCAGAUGUGAAAUCCCCGGGCUUAACCUGGGAACU
This 423-nucleotide ribosomal RNA is filed under the name uncultured bacterium. RNAcentral's name for it is "bacterial SSU rRNA". It matches the Rfam family "Bacterial small subunit ribosomal RNA", at positions 207 to 622 of the family's 1533-position model. The record is from RNAcentral.